GUUUGACCUCGGAUCAGGUAGGAAUACCCGCUGAACUUAAGCAUAUCAAUAAG
This 53-nucleotide ribosomal RNA is filed under the name Ilyonectria sp. RNAcentral's name for it is "partial 28S ribosomal RNA". Lineage: Eukaryota; Fungi; Ascomycota; Sordariomycetes; Hypocreales; Nectriaceae. The record is from RNAcentral.